Long non-coding RNA from Heterocephalus glaber (naked mole-rat), 1392 nucleotides. The record is from Ensembl. NCBI's taxonomy places the organism in Eukaryota, Metazoa, Chordata, Mammalia, Rodentia, Bathyergidae.
CUGUCAGCUGCGAGGGCCGGACUUGUCCUUCUUCCUUGAAGCUCUUGGAGAAUCAACCUGAGAACAGCGAGAAAAUCAGUCUGUCAUUAGCCACCACUUGUGGUUAGAUUGUGGCAGGCUUGGAGAAGGCAAUGGGAGCCACUGACCCCGGAGCUGCUGUGUGCGGCAGCCCCAAAGGACUGGAAGUCAGCUCCCGGGUUCUGUGCCCGGCACCUGGCCUUCCGCGGGCCAUAAAACAGCAGUUUCCGGCCUGCUGGUUGGAACAGUGACUGUUACAACAUCCACAGCAGAAACUCAGUGUGCAGCCCAGGCUGGCCUUGAACUUGCAGCAAUCCUCCUGCCUCAGCCUCCCAAGUGCUGGGAUUACAGGAGGAGCCGCUGGGUUUGCACCCGGGAAGGGCUUCACACACGUCUUGGCCACCGAGGCUCCAGGUGUGGGGUCUGCAGCCAAGAGCUCCUCCAGCCUCGGGUUUGCACACCAGCGUGGGACACCACGGCCACCACUACCCAAUCACCCGAAUGCCAUCCCCACUGCCAUCAUGGCCACAGCCCAGGGUCUCCUGUGAGCCCUGUAGGACAGACAGAUCUGAGCCUUGGCCAGGUCUUGGGGAUCCGCUCUCCAGGACCCUAGAGGCGUGCCGUGAGAGGCCUGGGGGAAGCGCACAGAAGACAGGGCGGAGCCCCGGGUCCACUUGUGCAAAGCCACACACAGACGGAAACCAAGUCUCUUCCCCAUUGGACUGGAGGCUCUGUAGAGAAAUGAAAUAAAAAGUGGGAGAAGCAACACUUCACAUCCUGGACACUGAGCUGCUCCGGGGAAGGUGUUGCUUACCACACAGGUGAUGGCAAGGUGGCCAGAGCGUCACAGACCCCCGAGUGUGUCCCUGUGGCAACUCAAGCCCUGCGAGGGUCACAGCUGCACAUUCCCACCCCCAGGCCUGCUCUGAGCUUCCCCUCCAUUGCCUGCGGCUGUGGGGCCCGACUUUGUGGGCCUGGGUCGCGGCCUGGCAGCCUCCGCCCAUUGCACAGACCCCGGUUGCCGCUCCUGGCUUCUCCAGGCCCCAGGUGCCAGAGCCCUCUUGGGUCCCCCGAGCCCUGGGAUAGGUCUAUGGGAUCCCUUGUCACUCUCAGAAGCCCCUCUGUGCAGAGCGUCAUGUCUGUGCGGGAAUGCGCCGCGUGACAGCCAUCUCUCCUAUCACUUCUGAGAACCACGCAGCCAGAGGCCCUAGCUGAGCCUCAGUUUUUUCAUCUAUUCUGUGGGAAAAUAAUGCCCCAGGCUUUUUUGUUGCUGAUAGACAGGGUCUGGCUAUGUAGCCUAGGAUGGGCUCAAACUUGCAGCAAUCCUCCUGCCUCAGCCUCCCAGAGUGCUAGCAUUACUGGUGUGCACCACUG